CAGCAGCCGCGGGAAUACGUAGGGUGCGAGCGUUAAUCGGAAUUACUGGGCGUAAAGCGUGCGCAGGCGGUUUUGUAAGACAGGCGUGAAAUCCCCGGGCUCAACCUGGGAAUGGCGCUUGUGACUGCAAAGCUAGAGUGCGGCAGAGGGGGAUGGAAUUCCGCGUGUAGCAGUGAAAUGCGUAGAUAUGCGGAGGAACACCGAUGGCGAAGGCAAUCCCCUGGGCCUGCACUGACGCUCAUGCACGGAAGCGUGGGGAGCAAACAGGAUUAGAUACCCCAGUAGUCCCUGUCUCUUAUAC
Molecule: ribosomal RNA, 301 nt
Filed under: uncultured bacterium
Lineage: Bacteria
Description: partial 16S ribosomal RNA
Rfam family: Bacterial small subunit ribosomal RNA
Source: RNAcentral